Molecule: ribosomal RNA, 253 nt
Filed under: uncultured bacterium
Lineage: Bacteria
Description: partial 16S ribosomal RNA
Rfam family: Bacterial small subunit ribosomal RNA
Source: RNAcentral
UACAGGGGGGGCAAGCGUUGUUCGGAAUUACUGGGCGUAAAGGGCUCGUAGGUGGCCAACUAAGUCAGACGUGAAAUCCCUCAGCUUAACUGGGGAACUGCGUCUGAUACUGGAUGGCUUGAGUUUGGGAGAGGGAUGCGGAAUUCCAGGUGUAGCGGUGAAAUGCGCAGAUAUCGGGAGGAACACCAAUGGCGAAGGCAGCUCGCUGGGACGGUACUGACGCUGAGACGCGAAAGCGUGGGGAGCAAACAGG